RNAcentral lists this ribosomal RNA (495 nucleotides) under uncultured bacterium. RNAcentral describes it as "partial 16S ribosomal RNA". It matches the Rfam family "Bacterial small subunit ribosomal RNA", at positions 28 to 507 of the family's 1533-position model. The record is from RNAcentral.
GACGAACGCUGGCGGCGUGCCUAAUACAUGCAAGUAGAACGCUGAAGGAGGAGCUUGCUCUUCUGGAUGAGUUGCGAACGGGUGAGUAACGCGUAGGUAACCUGCCUGGUAGCGGGGGAUAACUAUUGGAAACGAUAGCUAAUUCCGCAUAAGAGUAGAUGUUGCAUGACAUUUGCUUAAAAGGUGCAAUUGCAUCACUACCAGAUGGACCUGCGUUGUAUUAGCUAGUUGGUGGGGUAACGGCUCACCAAGGCGACGAUACAUAGCCGACCUGAGAGGGUGAUCGGCCACACUGGGACUGAGACACGGCCCAGACUCCUACGGGAGGCAGCAGUAGGGAAUCUUCGGCAAUGGACGGAAGUCUGACCGAGCAACGCCGCGUGAGUGAAGAAGGUUUUCGGAUCGUAAAGCUCUGUUGUAAGAGAAGAACGAGUGUGAGAGUGGAAAGUUCACACUGUGACGGUAUCUUACCAGAAAGGGACGGCUAACUACGUG